UAAACAACCUCAUCUCAAAUUAAUAUUAUUAAAACCAUAAAUUAUCUUAAUAGCCACAUUCUACAUAAAUACUUCGGUCUGCCAGAAAAACUAGGCGAGACCCGAAGCUCAGAAAAAUUUACAACUGAUACAUUUACUAUUACUACUGCGGAGAAUCUAAGAUUUACCAUUUUACAUACCAAAUCAAAUACAUCACCCGAUGAUGAAGGAGUCGGGUUACUGAAUAAGAGUUGCGGGAGAACUAACAGUCACGAAUCUGAAAAAAAACAUAAAUGGAGACUGUCAGUCUCGAGAGUGAGUUAAAAUCAUAUAUCUAAAACAGUUUCAAAUAUCUCAAUGUCACAUUCAUUUAAUUUUAAAAUAAUUAAUAAAUCACGCGAACCAUACGUGUCAUGUUAAAACAUAUGUGUCAUGCCAUGCUUAAACAAAAUUUAUUCCACAUGCAACGGGACAGAGUACUUCAGUAGAACUCUAAUCCCAACUCUAAAAUCUCGAUUAUUUCAACACUUAUGUCUCAACUAACCUCAACUCUAUCAUCUCAAACCUCUCAUUCCAACAGGACUGGCGCCCAGAGAGCAAAGCUCGACCAGGGACCUUACCUCCAGUCCGGUCACUUAACUCUCAGCCUUAGCCUUUUGGCUCUCUUAUCCAAUAAGACUGGCGCCCCGAGAGCAAAGCUCGACCAGGGACCUUACCUCCAGUCUGGUCACUUAAAUAUCCAAAUAAGAAAUCUAGUAGCCAUUCGGCUCUCUUAAUCCAAUAAGACUGGCGCCCCGAGAGCAAUGCUCGACCAGGGACCUUACCUCCAGUCUGGUCACUUAAAUUUCCAAAUAAGCCGGCGCCCCGAGAGCAAUGCUCGACCAGGGACCUUUACUCCGGCAACCACACUCUACUAAGCCCAGAGAGCGAUGCUCGACCAGGGCAGGUCCUAAUCUUUCUUUCUCAAAUUUUUUACCUCUUUACCCUUUUCUUAUCUCUCUCAUAUUAUAUUGGACACUCAUCCAACUCCUAUGUUCUACUGCCGUCCCAUCCUGAGUCAUCAUGCAAUAUUAAAAUUGGUAAUAAAGGAAAAACAUAUUUAAAUAGUAAUUAAAAGCAUCAUGCAAAUGAUAAUAAUAAUAAUUGAAUGAAAAAUUGAAAUUUCAAAUAAAUAUUCACAGUAGCAAAUCAAAUUUUAUGCAUGACACGUGCGUAAACGAUAUAUGACUUUAACUCACAGAAUUAGGCGACCUCCU
Molecule: long non-coding RNA, 1235 nt
Filed under: Ricinus communis (castor bean)
Lineage: Eukaryota; Viridiplantae; Streptophyta; Magnoliopsida; Malpighiales; Euphorbiaceae
Description: long non-coding RNA (RCOM_LNC001605)
Source: RNAcentral